Molecule: ribosomal RNA, 892 nt
Filed under: uncultured bacterium
Lineage: Bacteria
Description: bacterial SSU rRNA
Rfam family: Bacterial small subunit ribosomal RNA
Source: RNAcentral
AGAGUUUGAUCCUGGCUCAAAACGAACGCUGGCGGCAUGCUUAACACGUGCAAGUCGAACGAGACCUUCGGGUCUAGUGGCGCACGGGUGCGUAUAGCGUGGGAAUCUGCCCUUAGGUACGGAAUAACUCAGAGAAAUUUGUGCUAAUACCGUAUGAUGUCAAAAGACCAAAGAUUUAUCGCCUAAGGAUGAGCCCGCGUAAGAUUAGCUUGUUGGUGAGGUAAAAGCUCACCAAGGGGGACGAUCUUUAGCUGGUCUGAGAGGAUGAUCAGCCACACUGGGACUGAGACACGGCCCAGACUCCUACGGGAGGCAGCACUGGGGAAUAUUGGACAAUGGGCGAAAGCCUGAUCCAACAAUGCCCCGUGAGUGAUGAAGGCCUUAAGGUUGUAAAGCUCUUUUACCAAGGAUGAUAAUGACAGUACCUGGAGAAUAACCUCCGGCUAACUCCGUGCCAGCAGCCGCGGUAAUACGGAGGGAGCUAGCCUUGCUCGGAAUUACUGGGCGUAAAGAGUACUUAGGCGGUGAUUCAAGUUAGAGGUGAAACCCUGGAGCUCAACUCCGGAACUGCCUUUGAAACUCGAUCGCUUUGAUUGUGCACAGGUUAGUGGAAUUCCGAGUGUAUAGAUGAGAUUCGUAGAUAUUCUGAAGAACACCAAUGGCUAAUGUGACUAACUGGACACAUAUUGACGCUGAGGUACUAAAGCUUGGUGGAGCAAACAGGAUUAGAUACGCUGGUAGUCCACGCCAUAAACGAUGAUAACUACUGUGUCGGGGUCUAUAUCCUGAGUGGCGCAGCUAACGCAUUAAGUUAUCCACCUGGUGAGUACGGUCGCAAGAUUAAAACUCACAGCAGUUGAACGGGGGCCUGCGCAAGCGGGGCAGCAUGUGG